This 895-nucleotide ribosomal RNA is filed under the name Bacillus sp. MTK 1. RNAcentral's name for it is "bacterial SSU rRNA". It matches the Rfam family "Bacterial small subunit ribosomal RNA", at positions 1 to 890 of the family's 1533-position model. The record is from RNAcentral. Lineage: Bacteria; Bacillati; Bacillota; Bacilli; Caryophanales; Bacillaceae.
GUGGGUAGUUUUUUGCUUGUACAGGGCUACGGUGCAGUCGAGCGGUUGCAUUAAGAGCUUGCUCUUUGUGAUUAGCGGCGGACGGGUGAGUAACGUGUGGGUAACCGGCCGAUGGGAGGGGGAUACCUCCGGGAAAGGGGGGCUAAAACCCGAAAAGUUUUUGAACCGCAGGGGGGGAAAUUGAAGGGCCGCUUCGGCUGACAUGUACGGAUGGACCCGCGUCGCAUGUGGGGGUUGGGCUCGUAACGGCUCACAAACGUAACUAUGCUUAGACGACCUGAGAGGGUGAUCGAACACACUGGGACUGAGACACGGCCCAGACUCCUACGGGAGGGAAUAUUGCGGAAUCUUCCGCAAUGGACGAAAGUCUGACCGAGCGUCUCCACGUGAGUGAUGAAUGCUUUCGGGUUUCAAACUCUGUUGUUAGGGAAGAACAAAUGCUAGUUGAAUAAGCUGGCACCUUGACGGUACCUAACCAGAAAGCCCCUGCUAACUACGUGCCAAAUACCGAGGGUAAUACGUAUGUGGCAAAAUUUAUGGGGGAAUUAUUGGGCGUAAAGCGCCUGUCAGGUGGUUUCUUAAAAUCUGAUGUGCUCACCCCACGGAUCAGCCGUGGAGGGUCAUUGGAAACUGUCUAGACUUGAGUGGUAAAAAAUCAAAGUGGAAUUCCAUGUGUGCGCGGUGAAAUGCGUAGAAUAUAUGGAGGAACACGCGUGGCCAUGGAGACUUUCUGGUCUGUAACUGACACUGAGUGCGCGAAAGCGUGGAUAGCAUACAGGAUUAGAUACCCUGGUAGUCCACGCCGUAUACGAUGAGUGCUCCGUGUUAGAGUGGUUUCCGCCCUUUAACGCUUAAAUCACGCACUUAGGCGAUCCCCGUGGCGAGUUAGAUAGGG